This is a long non-coding RNA of Zingiber officinale, 931 nucleotides long. RefSeq lists it as uncharacterized. Lineage: Eukaryota; Viridiplantae; Streptophyta; Magnoliopsida; Zingiberales; Zingiberaceae. The record is from RefSeq and is a predicted model, not a curated record. The transcript has 4 exons.
UUCUCCUAAUUUUUCUUUCCCCGAUCUCCUCUCCCAAGCCUCUCGCGCAACCUCUUCUUCCCCGACGCCAACGUCGCAAGGGAGAUGAUCGUGCCGGCGCCGGUUGACCCUCCAUUAGCAGGUAGAUGGAGCUCGAUCGCCGGAAGGAAAGGGCCAACGCUUGCCCUCACGCGUGGUGCCCUAGAUCCUGUUUCUGCCACCUGAUUUCCUUGUCGUCGUCGCCCUUCUUGCGCCGCCGAUCACCACGAGUUCACUGCUGGCGACGGUCUUCUCCAGUGUGUCUCGGCCGAGCCUCCCUCUUCCUUCUCUCAAGGUGUGGAGCCUCUCCUUCUUCUUGCCGAUCUUGUCACCGUGCCCUAGAUUGCUGACACCGAGUCUUUCUCGCCGAGCCUCCCGACCACACCACUCCACACGAUGUAGCCGGAUCACGCGCGCGAGCUCUCUUCGUCCCGAGACUCACCAGCGACUCAACUCCUUCCCUUCCAACCAACCGCCGCCGUCCCUUUCCUGUACCUGAUCGCCGACCUCUCUGCUUCUAAUCACCAACCUAGCUUCAAGAUUGAUGUUGGGUUUGAUCCUUGGUCUGUUGUGAAGUGUCCGGCCAAGCUGCAUUGAUCCGGCAAUGUGACCGAAAGAUGGUUUGCUGUGGCGGUUCUUGUGGGGUGGAGGGUUGCUGCUAGGGUCCGGUGAGGCCAUCAACUCCGGCAGUAAUCUUCUCCAGCAGUAAAACACCAGUUGGGGCAUCUGGAUUGAGCUAAGGUUUUGUUGAGUGCUUCUUUGAUAGUUGACGGCAUAGAACUUCUUGGGUUGUAAGAUUCAGAAUUUUGCUGUCAUACCUCAAGGACUUUGAUAUGGGAUGAUCAUCACGACGUGGGAUUUAUUCUGGACACGGUCGACAAAUUAAGGCGGGUAUUUCUUCCUUUACCUCUAU